Vicia faba (fava bean) is the source of this 324-nucleotide non-coding RNA. Lineage: Eukaryota; Viridiplantae; Streptophyta; Magnoliopsida; Fabales; Fabaceae. The record is from the annotation of a GenBank genome assembly.
UACACUCGACAUCCUAGCUAUCUGAACACCAAAAAUAAACCACUGUGUUUCCUCAAUUAUGUCAUAUCACUCCAACGUGUCUUUAUCAUUGUUCGCUUCCAAAUAAAAUUAUGCUCGACAGUCGAUCCUAUCGAGCUGAUCGAAAACAUAUUGAAGGUUAAGUUGAAUUUAUUGAACUUCAUUAGCAAGGGCAAGCCUUGCAGUUUUAUUGAACAAACAGACACUGUCAUCAAGCUAAAACAGGAACAUUACAAACAAGAUCGGAGCCGGAGGGGCAUUCCCCAACCAGAUUGGUUCAAGUGUCUCCUAAUAAAACUAAUUUGA